ACGGAAGGCAGCAGUGGGGAAUAUUGCACAAUGGGGGAAACCCUGAUGCAGCGACGCCGCGUGAGUGAUGAAGUAUUUCGGUAUGUAAAGCUCUAUCAGCAGGGAAGAAAAUGACGGUACCUGACUAAGAAGCACCGGCUAAAUACGUGCCAGCAGCCGCGGUAAUACGUAUGGUGCAAGCGUUAUCCGGAUUUACUGGGUGUAAAGGGAGCGUAGGCGGCAUGGCAAGCCAGAUGUGAAAGCCCGGGGCCCAACCCCGGAACUGCAUUUGGAACUGUCAGGCUAGAGUACCGGAGAGGUAAGCGGAAUUCCUAGUGUAGCGGUGAAAUGCGUAGAUAUUAGGAGGAACACCAGUGGCGAAGGCGGCUUACUGGACGGUAACUGACGCUGAGGCUCGAAAGCGUGGGGAGCAAACAGGAUUAGAUACCCUGGUA
RNAcentral lists this ribosomal RNA (434 nucleotides) under uncultured Lachnospiraceae bacterium. Its description in RNAcentral is "bacterial SSU rRNA". It matches the Rfam family "Bacterial small subunit ribosomal RNA", at positions 341 to 792 of the family's 1533-position model. Lineage: Bacteria; Bacillati; Bacillota; Clostridia; Lachnospirales; Lachnospiraceae. The record is from RNAcentral.